GCGCCUGUGGCGGAAUUGGUAGACGCGCAAGGUUGAGGGCCUUGUGGACUGUAUGGUCCGUGGAGGUUCGAGUCCUCUCGGGCGCA
This 86-nucleotide transfer RNA is filed under the name Solirubrobacterales bacterium. Its description in RNAcentral is "tRNA-Leu". It matches the Rfam family "tRNA". Rfam says of the family: Transfer RNA (tRNA) molecules are approximately 80 nucleotides in length. Their secondary structure includes four short double-helical elements and three loops (D, anti-codon, and T loops). The record is from RNAcentral. RNAcentral also lists the same sequence under 2 other names. Lineage: Bacteria; Bacillati; Actinomycetota; Thermoleophilia; Solirubrobacterales.